Pelobates cultripes (western spadefoot toad) is the source of this 242-nucleotide non-coding RNA. The record is from the annotation of a GenBank genome assembly. Lineage: Eukaryota; Metazoa; Chordata; Amphibia; Anura; Pelobatidae.
GGCAAACAUGGGUAAAUGGUAGAGCCCCAGCUGUCAAUGCAUUUCUGGAGUUGAACGACAGAUGGGGAUCUACCUUUUAAUCACCCGUGCAACAGGGAGACCCCCAAAAAUUCUUGCACCUCUCUACUUUAGGUUCGCCACUGCGUUGAGGUGGAGGAUGUGAUUGCAUGCCUGAGGAGGGGGGACAGGGUCCAGGGGGCCCCAAGCAAAUGCUUUGCCCAGGGUCCAGUCACUAUUAAAGA